GAUGAACGCUGGCGGCGUGCCUAAUACAUGCAAGUCGAGCGAACAGACGAGGAGCUUGCUCCUCUGACGUUAGCGGCGGACGGGUGAGUAACACGUGGAUAACCUACCUAUAAGACUGGGAUAACUUCGGGAAACCGGAGCUAAUACCGGAUAAUAUAUUGAACCGCAUGGUUCAAUAGUGAAAGACGGUUUUGCUGUCACUUAUAGAUGGAUCCGCGCCGCAUUAGCUAGUUGGUAAGGUAACGGCUUACCAAGGCAACGAUGCGUGGCCGACCUGAGAGGGUGAUCGGCCACACUGGAACUGAGACACGGUCCAGACUCCUACGGGAGGCAGCAGUGGGGAAUCUUCCGCAAUGGGCGAAAGCCUGACGGAGCAACGCCGCGUGAGUGAUGAAGGUCUUCGGAUCGUAAAACUCUGUUAUUAGGGAAGAACAAAUCUGUAAGUAACUAUGCACGUCUUGACGGUACCUAAUCAGAAAGCCACGGCUAACUACGUG
RNAcentral lists this ribosomal RNA (497 nucleotides) under uncultured bacterium. Its description in RNAcentral is "partial 16S ribosomal RNA". It matches the Rfam family "Bacterial small subunit ribosomal RNA", at positions 28 to 507 of the family's 1533-position model. The record is from RNAcentral.